UGACAGCCCACUGGUCCUCAACAGGUCGGGAAGUUUACCGAAAGGGGCCGACUAGACGCAGAGCCGAGGAAGUGCUAAUAGGGGCGAGGGGCCCUAGAUCUUGUGCAAGAUGGUUGGUUACUCGCUCAAGGUCACAUGGCUGUGCAGCGUCAAGGAGGAUAUUUGAACCUGGAUCUCCAUACUCUUGGCCAUUAUACUCUUCUGCUGGCUUCAGACUUCCAUGGAAGCUAUGGAACCAUAUGCUCUAUCAAAUAUUAAGAUAAAUCACAAAAGAGAAAGCCAUGAAAUCCAGGAAAAAGGUGGACCAACACAAGAGAGAGAUGAACAUUUCCAGAAUGAAAACUAAAAGAAAUUUUAUUACAUUAGUUAUGCUGCACCCCUAGACAUCAACCUGUUGCUAGUGGAACUGAAAGUCAGAGGACUCCAAGAGUGACAAGAAAGAGGAGGAGGAGGAAACUGAAAGAUGAUAUUAACAGCUUUGAGUUUUUAUAAACAGAUUACGCAUACAAGAUCUAUAAAAUAGAAGAGGAACCUAAUUACCAGGAAAAAAACCCAGACUACCAACAUUUCUUCAAGAAUUAAUUUGGUUUUAGUGACCACAGUUUUAUUCCCAACUGUAAAUCUAGAUAUGUUAAAAGCAUGUUUCAAAUAAAUCUACAGCUUUUAAACAAAAUCAUCUGGCAUACUGUUUUGGAAUUUCAACAUUAGCAGUGUCAAUAUUAUUUCUUUUGUUCUUCUAUUUAUAUGACAUUUUAGAAAAGGCCAAAUUAUAGGGAUAAAGAUAUAUCCGUAUUUGCCAGUGGGUGGGGAUGACACAGGGGUUGACUAAAAGGGGCAUAAAUUUUAGGGGCUAAUGAAAUUGUUAAAAGGAUGACU
Panthera uncia (snow leopard) is the source of this 876-nucleotide long non-coding RNA. RefSeq lists it as uncharacterized. The record is from RefSeq and is a predicted model, not a curated record. NCBI's taxonomy places the organism in Eukaryota, Metazoa, Chordata, Mammalia, Carnivora, Felidae. The transcript has 5 exons.